Molecule: non-coding RNA, 73 nt
Organism: Cladochytrium replicatum
Lineage: Eukaryota; Fungi; Chytridiomycota; Chytridiomycetes; Cladochytriales; Cladochytriaceae
Source: the annotation of a GenBank genome assembly
GGUUCCAUAGUGUAGUGGUUUAUCACAUUGGACUUUGAAUCCAUUGACCCGAGUUCGAAUCUCGGUGGGACCU